Molecule: long non-coding RNA, 579 nt
Filed under: Salmo salar (Atlantic salmon)
Lineage: Eukaryota; Metazoa; Chordata; Actinopteri; Salmoniformes; Salmonidae
Description: lncRNA (ENSSSAG00000107147.1)
Source: RNAcentral
UCUCUCCAGCUCAUCCUCGGGGAUAGUGCUCUACAAAAGACAGAAAAUACAGUCUAAAUUAACUAUGACUAAACGCCUCCUGUAACAUCAGGCGCUAGACAGCUGAAUUACUUCUCGCUCAAAACGACUUUCACACUACAAACUGGUUGGUGCGCGACUGACUGUCCAUGAAAGAGAAAGUCAAAUCCUGUCCUGCACUGAAGUCAAGCCUCUGAACACCUCAACUCAUGCCUCACACCCUCAUUCAAUCACUGCUGUGAUCCCUUUCCGACACUGUGUACGAACUCCAGAGCUUCGGCGACAGGGCCUUCUCCAGGGUUGCUCCAAGGUUCUGAACCGCUCUCCCUCCCUCCAGCCAUCCAUGACUCUGAGUCCAUCACCAUCUUUCAGUCCUUCCUAAAGCCCCACCUAUUUGACAAGGUCUACCUGAUACAUCAUACUCUUUCCCUUCCUUGAGCCCACCCCUCACUUUGUUCAUGUUUUUGUUUAGUUUGAUGUUGUCUUGUUUUGACUACUGUUUUGUUUUUUUGUUUUGACAAUUGUAAAGCGGCUUUGGGUCCUUGAAAAGCACUACAUAGG